CCAGCCUCGGGCUGGCUGUUGACAGAAGCGCGCAAGGUGCAUCUUUAUGCUCUACAUCAAACGCCUUUGACACAGACUUAAAAAAGUCUAUGUAAAGCAGCUAAUGGUGCUCGCUCUUCCGGCUGAGUAAGUCGGGGAACCAGAUUUUGCUGGAAGUAGAAGCCCUUUGCUCUGAGAACUGAUCUUUACUGCAUCAGAGUGAUGGAUGUCUUGGUGCAGCCCAGGUCUGGACAUUCAUAGCACAGUGUGAUCUCCAUGCUACUGGAGGAGCUGGUGAAGGUCCAUAACUCCAGAAAAGCAGGCUCUGCCCUGAUGUGCUAGUGUUAGCAGCCUGUGGAUUUCUGAGCCAAGCUGAAAUGGGGUCUCGGGGCGGCCAACCUAAGGCGGGCAAGAAGAGAUGGCAGCGUGAAGCAGAGGAGGAGGACAGAAAUAAGAUCAAGUGAAGGGAGGGCAGAGCUUAGAGGAAGGAACACAAGGCAACAGUUUUACAUUAUGGACCCGCUGCCACCCAACUUGCUAUGCAGAGCGAUGUGCUUUCCUGCAAAGGGCUGCGGCAGACGGGUGAUGUUGGCUGGAAAAAGGGGCUCACUUUGAAGUGAUUCAGGCCCUGGGUUGUCCAGAUUCAGCAUCAUUGUGCUCUCUCAGGGAAAUGUAAUCUAAUUUUAGGAAGAGGAGGAAACAAAGUAAACGUGACUGAACUGCGCUGCACCUCCGCACCGUCCGAGACCGCGUCCCCGGGAAUAUCCCUGGGCAACUUUCUUCAUUUUCCUUCUUUUUUAGACACCAAUUUUGGUGCAUACUAGCCAAGAGAGGAAAAAAAGGGUGGUAGUUCUGCCUGUGAAAUGAUAUGCUUUGGUGGAUGGCCCAAACUAACUACUGCUUGCAAACCCCAGAUUAAAAAAAGAAGACUGAUGUAAUUUUAAAGCCAGCCAACUGCCUUAGUGACUGUAUCAGAAGAUUAAAAACAAAGGUUUCAUUGAAGCACUACCUCCCACUGUGCAGCUGA
Molecule: long non-coding RNA, 1006 nt
Filed under: Junco hyemalis (dark-eyed junco)
Lineage: Eukaryota; Metazoa; Chordata; Aves; Passeriformes; Passerellidae
Description: lncRNA (ENSJHYG00000017856.1)
Source: RNAcentral